RNAcentral lists this ribosomal RNA (422 nucleotides) under uncultured bacterium. RNAcentral's name for it is "bacterial SSU rRNA". It matches the Rfam family "Bacterial small subunit ribosomal RNA", at positions 355 to 774 of the family's 1533-position model. The record is from RNAcentral.
UGAGGAAUAUUGGGCAAUGCCCGCAAGGGUGACCCAGCAACGCCGCGUGGAGGAUGAAUGUCGUAAGAUUGUAAACUCCUGUUAGAGGGGAAGAAUAGUACCGGUUGGACCGGUAUAUGACUGUACCUUCAGAGAAAGCCCCGGCUAACUACGUGCCAGCAGCCGCGGUAAUACGUAGGGGGCAAGCGUUGUCCGGAUUUACUGGGUGUAAAGGGCGCGCAGGCGGGAUAAAAAGUCAGUGGUGAAAUCCUACAGCUUAACUGUAGAACUGCCUUUGAUACUGUUAUUCUUGAGUUCGGGAGAGAGAGACGGAAUUCCAGGUGUAGUGGUGAAAUACGUUGAUAUCUGGAAGAACACCAGUUGCGAAGGCGGUCUCUUGGUCCGACACUGACGCUGAGGCGCGAAAGCGUGGGGAGCAAACA